GAUGAAGAACGUAGCGAAAUGCGAUAAGUAGUGUGAAUUGCAGAAUUCAGUGAAUCAUCGAAUCUUUGAACGCACAUUGCGCCCUUUGGUAUUCCAAAGGGCAUGCCUGUUCGAGCGUCAUUUGUACCCUCAAGCUUUGCUUGGUGUUGGGCGUCUUGUCUCCAGUUCGCUGGAGACUCGCCUUAAAGUAAUUGGCAGCCGGCCUACUGGUUUCGGAGCGCAGCACAAGUCGCGCUCUCUUCCAGCCAAGGUCAGCAUCCACAAAGCCUUUUUUCAACUUUUGACCUCGGAUCAGGUAGGGAUACCCGCUGAACUUAAGCAUAUCAAUAGCGGAGGA
This 337-nucleotide unclassified non-coding RNA is filed under the name soil metagenome. RNAcentral's name for it is "partial contains 5.8S ribosomal RNA, internal transcribed spacer 2, and large subunit ribosomal RNA". The stretch from base 1 to 120 matches the Rfam family "5.8S ribosomal RNA", at positions 35 to 154 of the family's 154-position model. The record is from RNAcentral.